ACGGUUCAGUAACACGUGGAUAACCUGCCCUAUGGUGGAGAAUAACCCCGGGAAACUGGGGAUAAUACUCCAUAGAUUAGAGAUACUGGAAUGUUCUUUAAUCGAAAGUUGAGGCGCCAUAGGAUGGAUCUGCGGUCGAUUAGGUUGUUGUUGGGGUAACGGCCCAACAAGCCUGUAAUCGAUACGGGUUGUGGGAGCAAGAGCCCGGAGAUGGAAUCUGAGACACGAUUCCAGGCCCUACGGGGCGCAGCAGGCGCGAAAACUUUACAAUGCAGGAAACUGUGAUAAGGGAACCCCGAGUGCCCGUAUACGCGGGCUGUCCAGGUGUCUAAAAAGCAUCUGAAGAAAGGGCUGGGCAAGACCGGUGCCAGCCGCCGCGGUAAUACCGGCGGCUCGAGUGGUGGCCACUAUUAUUGGGCUUAAAGCGUCCGUAGCUGGACUCUUAAGUCUCUUGGGAAAUCCGCCGGCUUAACCGACGGGCGUCUAAGAGAUACUGAGAGUCUAGGGACCGGGAGAGGUGAGAGGUACUCCGGGGGUAGGAGUGAAAUCCUGUAAUCCCUGGGGGACCACCGAUGGCGAAGGCAUCUCACCAGAACGGCUCCGACAGUGAGGGACGAAAGCUGGGGGAGCGAACCGGAUUAGAUACCCGGGUAGUCCCAGCCGUAAACUAUGCGCGUUAGGUGUACUGGUGACCACGAGUCACUGGGGUGCCGAAGGGAAACCGUGAAACGUGCCGCCUGGGAAGUACGGUCGCAAGGCUGAAACUUAAAGGAAUUGGCGGGGGAGCAC
RNAcentral lists this ribosomal RNA (789 nucleotides) under uncultured archaeon. RNAcentral describes it as "bacterial SSU rRNA". It matches the Rfam family "Archaeal small subunit ribosomal RNA", at positions 85 to 879 of the family's 1478-position model. The record is from RNAcentral.